UGGCGACCGGCGCACGGGUGAGUAACACGUAUCCAACCUGCCGAUAACUCGGGGAUAGCCUUUCGAAAGAAAGAUUAAUACCCGAUGGUAUAAUAAAACCGCAUGGUUUAAUUAUUAAAGAAUUUCGGUUAUCGAUGGGGAUGCGUUCCAUUAGGCAGUUGGUGAGGUAACGGCUCACCAAACCUUCGAUGGAUAGGGGUUCUGAGAGGAAGGUCCCCCACAUUGGAACUGAGACACGGUCCAA
This 244-nucleotide ribosomal RNA is filed under the name uncultured bacterium. RNAcentral's name for it is "partial 16S ribosomal RNA". It matches the Rfam family "Bacterial small subunit ribosomal RNA", at positions 89 to 334 of the family's 1533-position model. The record is from RNAcentral.